AAUCCACCUGGGGAGUACGUUCGCAAGAAUGAAACUCAAAGGAAUUGACGGGGGCCCGCACAAGCGGAGGAACAUGUGGUUUAAUUCGAUGAUACGCGAGGAACCUUACCUGGACUUAAAUGUAUAUUGACCGGUUUAGAAAUAGAUCUUUCCUUCGGGACAAUUUACAAGGUGCUGCAUGGUUGUCGUCAGCUCGUGCCGUGAGGUGUCGGGUUAAGUCCCAUAACGAGCGCAACCCCUAUCGUUAGUUGCUAGCAGGUAAUGCUGAGGACUCUAGCGAGACUGCCACCGUAAGGUGAGAGGAAGGUGGGGAUGACGUCAAAUCAGCACGGCCCUUACGUCCAGGGCUACACACGUGUUACAAUGGCCAGUACAAAGGGCAGCUACCAGGUGACUGGAUGCUAAUCUCUAAAGCUGGUCUCAGUUCGGAUCGGAGUCUGCAACUCGACUCCGUGAAGUUGGAUCCGCUAGUAAUCGUAGAUCAGCAACGCUACGGUGAAUACGUUCCCGGGCCUUGUACACACCGCCCGUCAAGCCAUGGAAGCCGAGGGGACCUGAAGUUCGUAACCGCAAGGAGCGACCUAGGGUAAAAUUGGUAACUAGGGCUAAGUCGUAACAAGGUAGCCG
This 627-nucleotide ribosomal RNA is filed under the name uncultured bacterium. RNAcentral describes it as "bacterial SSU rRNA". It matches the Rfam family "Bacterial small subunit ribosomal RNA", at positions 866 to 1502 of the family's 1533-position model. The record is from RNAcentral.